RNAcentral lists this ribosomal RNA (468 nucleotides) under uncultured bacterium. RNAcentral describes it as "partial 16S ribosomal RNA". It matches the Rfam family "Bacterial small subunit ribosomal RNA", at positions 28 to 507 of the family's 1533-position model. The record is from RNAcentral.
GACGAACGCUGGCGGCGUGCUUAACACAUGCAAGUCGAACGGAAAGGCCCUGCUUUUGUUGGUUGCUCGAGUGGCGAACGGGUGAGUAACACGUGAGUAACCUGCCCUUGACUUUGGGAUAACUUCAGGAAACUGGGGCUAAUACCGGAUAGGAUCUCCUGCUGCAUGGUGGGGGUUGGAAAGUUUCGGCGGUUGGGGAUGGACUCGCUGGUUAUCAGCUUGUUGGUGGGGUAGUGGCUUACCAAGGCUUUGACGGGUAGCCGGCCUGAGAGGGUGACCGGCGACAAUGGGACUGAGAGACGGCCCAGAAUCCUACGGGAGGCAGCAGGGGGGAGUAUUGCACAAUGGGCGGAAGCCUGAUGCAGCAACGCCGCGUGCGGGAUGACGGCCUUCGGGGUGUAAACAGAUUUGGACGGUGACGAAGAGUGAGUGACGGUAAUGGGUAAAGAAGCAACGGCUAACUACGUG